Molecule: non-coding RNA, 3388 nt
Organism: Paramormyrops kingsleyae
Lineage: Eukaryota; Metazoa; Chordata; Actinopteri; Osteoglossiformes; Mormyridae
Source: RefSeq, a predicted model, not a curated record
GUUCGAGAACCGAGGUACCACUGUAUACCGAUUGGUAAAAAUAAAGGUAAUGGUCGAUCCUAAGUUAGCCUCGAAUCGACACUUAGCCCUAUAGUGAUAUCACUGCGUAGCCUCAAACUUAAUAUGGUAGUGUUUCCUUUCCUUAAAACACUUAAAAGGCAUAAUUUACAAAACGCGCUCAUUUAAUAGGUCAUUUAGUAUAUUAUUUGUACGGUUUGAAACUACAGUUCGUGCCACUUAUACGCCUAGACAGUGAAAUGUUAAGGUUUAUUAUAGUCUAACAGCCAUUAUACACUUCUAUUAGAAAAAUGAAUUUGAAUUUGAAUUUAAGUAGAGAUAAACAAAUUCAUAAAAUUCAUGAUAAAAGUUAACAAAAUAUUCCUGACACAAAGUGUUACUGUUACAAACAUUUCAGUUUAACUCAUAAAACCAUUGUGUAAAAACACCAAUAUUCUGUGUCUUUGCAAAACCUCUUAACUUAUUUGUGUCAUUAUACAUCAAAUAACUCGCAUUGUGGCACAUUCAGUAUAGUCUUGGCAUGUCCGAUCGGCAACCGUUUGUUAAAGAAAGAAUGUUAUUCAUUAUUUAUUGAGAUAGUGUUAUGAGUUACUGUACGUUGCUUAAUAUGAUUAUGUUGUCUUGAUUUUUAAGGUGCUUUGUUUGUCAAGUGACUAUUGAUAAUGUGUUCUUUUUAGGCCUACUGCCCCAAAUCAUCCGACCUUCAACAAAGAUGUCAUACUAUUACCUGAGUCUGCAUGGGACAGUGUUUGCAAACACAAAACACAAAGAAAACUUCAUGAAAGAGGCUUUGUUCUAAAUGCUUUUGAAAUAAGAAAGGCAUGGGACUUCAGGACAGUCAUUGCAAAGACAAGAGAAGCAUUCAAGGAAAUAAUUCAUGAGGAUGUCAGUAUUGAAAUUUUGAUGCCUUGUGGAAACAAACUGGUUUCCCCAAAGUUGUGUGAGGGUCAGGAACUGUACAUUAGGCCGUCAAGUAAUCUUCCAUUUUCGUUUGACAGCACAGAUUCAGAGGAAAGUUGUGUGGAAGUUGACACUGCAUCAGCCUCUCCUGACGGAAUGAUUACAAGAGCCAGGGGAAUCCAAAUUGCCUCAAAACAGCAGAUUUCUCAUUAUUCAUACACAAGAAGGGACAGUGGGUAUCCUCACACUAACCAGACCUCUGAAACACAUCAGGCAGCCAGUGAUUUUGCACCCAGUGCUACCCAAAUCUGUGCAGCACAGCCAGCAUCCAGCAGUUUCACACCAACAGCUACCCAGAUCUCUGCAACACAACAAGCAUCCAAUGUCAUGAACCUGGCUAUUGAUGCCAGAGUGGACCAGACUCCAUCAACUAUGCUGCCUAUCUUUCAAUCAUGGGUUCCAUCUCAGACCUUUCUUCUGAUGAUGAAGAAUUAAAUCAAGCUAUUAUUGCCAGUCUUGAAAGUCACGAGACAUCUCCACAACCAAACACUUUAUCAGCACAGGAGGUGCUUCUCAAUCUUGCAUCCCAAAUUGAGAGUAAACAAAAAUGCAGAUUCAACAUUAAUAGGUCUUCAGUACUUGAUGGUGCUGUGCAGGGGUUCAGACGAGUGUCAUAUAAUCCCAAGUACCAGAUGUGCAUCAAGUUUUCAGAUGACUUGGGAAUGGAUGAAGAGGCUGUGGACCUUGGGGGCCCCAGGAGAGAAUUUUUACGGUUGCUCAUGGAAGCCUUGCCACUGUCACCAAUGUUUGAAGGAAGAAACAACAAAUUAAACUUGGCCUUGGACAGUUCAGCUUUAAGAGAAGAUCGUUAUGUUUUUGCGGGCCGGGCCAUUGCUGUGAGUCUUGUCCAUGGCGGUCCCCCACCAGGUUUCAUUGCACCAACACUGUACACUCAUCUAGUUGGAGGAAAUUCCACAGUAAAGCCUGUCUUAGAAGACAUUGCUGAUGCAGAUCUCUUUGAAAAACGUUGUCUGAUUGUAGGACUUUGGAUGGUCUUAUACAAACCAUUGACCCACUGAAAGAUUACCUGGCCAAUGCUGGGUGUCUAAGGCCAUUAAAAUCCAUUGAUGACCGAGGUUCAACUGGUUGAUAUCCUCAUGUUUCAAGUGAUUCACAGAGUCUGUGGAGCAUUUGAAAGGAGGGGCUGAAGACUCUUGGUAUUCUGGAUGCAAUCAGAAUGCAUCCAGACAGUUUUAGAUCCUUAAUGUGCCAUGAACCAUCCCCACUAACUGCUGACUUGAUGGAUCACCUUUUUGAAAUCCGGCUGUCUCCAGUGGGAAGCAACAAGAGAAGUGCAGAGGAAUGUGUUGUCCCUUUUUGGAGGGAUUACCUGCAGGAUGUGGAAGGUUGGUCCUGGAAGCAAAAAUUUUGGCCCUGGGAACGUCCACGAGGAUUGUGAAUGUUAAAGGCAUCGACAGGGAAGUAAAGGACUUUCACAUCGGCAUGAGGAGGCCUGGACUUCUGUAAUUGAGUAGCCAUAAACUGAAGUUUUCAGUCGUUUUUAACGAAAACGACUUCAUUAUUGUAAUUAAGCAGCGUGAGGAGGCCUGGACUUCUGUAACUGAGUAGCCAUAAACUGAAAUGUUUACUUUUACACUGUUUUGUUUUGUUUGUUUACAUAUGAUAACUGUCAACAUUUUGUAGUCUUUUUUUUGUGUUCACAGUUCAAUAUAUGUAUCAUUGAUUUGUUUCGAACUGAAGUGUUUUUUUUUUUACUGCAUAUAUAAUGCUGUUUAUUGUUUGUAAAUGUGAUGCUUUAUAGUGUUUACGUGCUUGUGUUUGUAUUUGACAGUUUAUAAAACUAUCACUGACAUCCAUCCUCUAAAAUCCUAUAGAUUUACAGAGCUCUCGACAAGGGAGAGGGACAGAAAUAUUUUCCUCACAGGUAGUCCGUCUACCACUAUUGUAGAAAUCGAAGAUGUGGCAGUCGGUGAUUUCGGCGAAUUUGGUGAGGGCGAGAGGGUUUCAAAACUAUCAGGGACUGUGACGGCAGUCCAGAUAAUUUCCAAACGCCGCUGUCAGAAAUGUAAGGCCACACAAGAGUUGCAUGGGAAAGUGGCAGUCCACAGGUGUGUAGGAUGCAAAUUCAUGCAAAAAUCCACUUCCUACUUGCCAACAUAUUCGGGGACGUUGUGUCUGUCCUGCGAUGGCAAAGAUCACACACUGACCGUCAGUAAUUCCGCAAUUGGUGCAUAUUUCAAAGAGUACGAUUUGUGUGGUCUAACCAAUGACGUCGAGGACAUGGAGGAACAUUUUGUUACCGUGGGAGAGUUUUCAGUCGUUUUUAACGAAAACGACUUGAUUAUUGUAAUUAAGCAGCGUGAGGAGGCCUGGGCUUCUGUAACUGAGUAGCCAUAAACUGAAAUGUUUACUUUUCCACUGUUUUGUUUUGUUUGUUUACAUAUGAUAA